Spinacia oleracea (spinach) is the source of this 2530-nucleotide long non-coding RNA. RefSeq lists it as uncharacterized. The record is from RefSeq and is a predicted model, not a curated record. NCBI's taxonomy places the organism in Eukaryota, Viridiplantae, Streptophyta, Magnoliopsida, Caryophyllales, Amaranthaceae. The transcript has 2 exons.
UUUGAUAACUUUAUGAAAACAUGUUAUUGGUGCAAUGGACAAAAAUAAUUUUAUUUUUAAGGUAAAAUGAAAAGAUACUAACUUUUUGUGCUUAUAGUUGGCCGAAUCAAACCCCUCAAAUUAUCAUCAUGCUCCACUUUUUGUAGUUUGAAAAGUGGAUAAAAUAAAGUCACAAAGGUAAUUAUUAAUAAAAAAAUUAAUCAGAAAAGAUAAUCAUGCAUACUAAAAAGGUAAGAAAAAGCAACUAAGAGCACAAACACCUAAUAAUUUUCACAUAAUGAUAGUUCCUUCGAGAGUUAGCGACACCAUAACUCUUUCCAAUUAUCCCAAACCUAAAAUAAAAUCAUUUGAAAAUUAUUUUUAUUUUAGAAAAAUCCCACCCUGUAUUUUUAUUGAAACCGACCUAAUUAAAUCAAGCACAACUGUAACUCGGUAAUAAACAGACGUGUACAGUAAAAAUAAUGAAAGAUAGACGCGUAUAUGAGCUGUAAAAAAACGACCGAAAAAACCGUUACAAACCUCCAACCCACCGCCAUAUUCCGCGAAACCACCGCCUUAAAAUCUACAUAAAACACUCUCACCGGUAAAGUUUUGCGUACAGAACCCUAAUCCGUCAAUUUUCUCUCUCGUUUCAAUUUCCCUAACUCUAACCCUAGAAUCUCCGAUCAGAUUCUAACAAUUCCGAUCAAAACCCAACCCUAACCCUAGAUGAUGAUUCUUCAAUUUGGGGAUGAUUCUUCAAUUUGGGGAUGAUUCAUCCAUUCACUAGUUUGAGCCACCGGAACAGUGGAGUAAUCUUCCGAAGGACGACAACGUGUUUCAUUGGAGCAUAUCUGGUGAUAUUUCUCUUAGAAACUACUUUUUCCCGAAGUGAAGAUGUUGAUCUAAGUCUUCACUUCGGGAAAAAUUAGGUUUUUAUCGAAGUUUCUUUUAUGGUGUUGAUGAAGAAGAAGAAUAAUUAGUAGCAGAAGGAAGUUCGCGGAUAAGAAGACGCCGACGAAGAAGAAAUACUAGGAGUUCGAAAGGAUCGAUAUUUUAGCCCCAUAUGAUUUGGAAGUCCUGGACAUGGGUUUCAUUUGUAAAGUAGACAAAAUCGCUGGUAUUGCAAUGUUCCUUAGGGUGUCCUGUGUCUGGAUGAUGAUCUUUGAUGUGAUUGCGUCUAGGAUAUUUUAGUAAUUCCGCAGUUAAGGACUGUUUCGGUUGGCAAGUAGUUUGGGUGGUCUGCAGUGACUGCAGAGCUGAUGUUGGUUUGAUGAUGGUUUGCGGUGGUGUUUGAGGCUGCUUCUGGCUUUCGUUUGGCAAGGAGUUUGGGAGGUCUGCAGUGACGGUUAGAGCUGAUGUUGAUUUGAUGGUGGUUUGCGGUGGUGUUUGAGGCUGCUGCUGAGUCUGUUGGAUGGUAGUCAGGUGGUCAGCUUAGGUGUGUUUCUGGUGGUCUGCAGUGAGUUUGAAGAGAGCGAUUCUGCUCAGUCGUAACUGCAGUUUUCCCUGUCUGUAGUGUUGUCCUGUUGCUGUGGCUGCUUGGCUGUUGGCUGCUUGGUUAGGCCAGUGCUGCUUCUGGUGCUUCAUUGGUGUAGUGGUACAGCUUCAGGUUUGUUGCAGUUAGUUCAUGUGCAGUGGUGCAAUUUCAGAAGUCUUGCUGUUGUAUUGCGGCUGUAAUUCUCGCAAUUCCUGUUGUAAUAGGUUUGUUAUGGGACUAGAAAUGUGGUCAUAAUGUCCAUAUGAAUUUGGAUGAAGCUUCGUUCUUGGCAUGGGAAAUGAUUUCGGAGUGUAUAUUAUAGUUUAUUUUCUUAUUCAAAUUACUGGCUCGGGUUGAGGUGGAGGUGGAGGUGGGGUGGGGACAUCAGGGGAUCACCAAAUCAGCUAUGGUAGGAGUAUGCACAACUGCACAAGUUGGAUGAAGAAUCAAGGGAAAUUUGGCAUAUUCAGUUGUAUGCUAUCUCAUUUUCUCAUGGAUGUCUUUCGUGUUUGAUUUAUGGAUCUUGCAGAUGAGAGUAUAAGAAGAUGAAACCAGAAAUUCAUCUCGGGAACAAAGAAUAUACAGACAUACAGUUGCUUGUUACUCCGUACAUAGCUUGAUUAUUGUUGCCUACAUUCAUAUAUACUUCUAGACUGUAUAUAAUGCUUUAUAUACCUUCGGUAGUGCAGCAACUCUGUGAUGUUUUUAGUUUUAGAUGUCGUAGCUGCACUUAUUUAGUUCAUGAAAUACAAGGAAGUGUGACUAUGUAGCAGCAAAUAAAUGAAUUUCGUAAUUAUUAUGCCACGAGUUUUGGAUUCUUGAGAUCACCUAUGAAGUAUGAGAGAGGCGCUGAAACAAGUACAAGAAGGCAACGGUUGUGGCAACGGCCAUAGCUUGUUUUGCAAUUUGCAAGGACCCUCGUUAUGGAGGGAGUCUCGGAAAGUGUAGGUAUAAGGCUUAUUGUAUUGUUGACUAGCCUAAGGGGUGAAUUAGGAUGCUUAGUUCCAUGUAUGUAGUAUUUUGAUGGUUGUCGUUGUAUAGUGGAUUUAUAGUAGUGAAUUUAUAGGUCUGGUC